This 460-nucleotide ribosomal RNA is filed under the name uncultured bacterium. RNAcentral describes it as "partial 16S ribosomal RNA". It matches the Rfam family "Bacterial small subunit ribosomal RNA", at positions 338 to 795 of the family's 1533-position model. The record is from RNAcentral.
CCUACGGGUGACAGCAGUGAGGAAUAUUGGUCAAUGGACGCAAGUCUGAACCAGCCAUGCCGCGUGAAGGAUGACGGCUCUAUGAGUUGUAAACUGCUUUUGUAAGAGGGUAAACCCCGAUACGUGUAUCGGGUUGACAGUAUCCUACGAAUAAGGAACGGCUAACUCCGUGCCAGCAGCCGCGGUAAUAAGGAGGGUCAGAGCCUUAUCCGGUUUUAUUGGGUUUAAAGGGUGCGUAGGCGGUUUGAUAAGUUAUAGGUGAAAUGUCGGGGCUCAACCCCGUCACUGCCUCUAAUACUGUUGGACUAGAGAAUAGUUGCGGUAGGCGGAAUGUGUGGUGUAGCGGUGAAAUGCUUAGAGAUCAGACAGAACACCGAUUGCGAAGGCAGCUUACCAAACUAUAUCUGACGUUGAGGCACGAAAGCGUGGGUAGCAAACAGGAUUAGAUACCCCGGUAGUC